This 45-nucleotide non-coding RNA is filed under the name Schistosoma haematobium. The record is from RNAcentral. Lineage: Eukaryota; Metazoa; Platyhelminthes; Trematoda; Strigeidida; Schistosomatidae.
ACCCAGCUAACGAGUCCCAAAUAAGAUGAAACGCGCGUCCUGGAU